GAUGAACGCUGGCGGCGUGCCUAAUACAUGCAAGUCGAGCGAACGUACGAGAAGCUUGCUUCUCUGAUGUUAGCGGCGGACGGGUGAGUAACACGUGGAUAACCUACCUAUAAGACUGGGAUAACUUCGGGAAACCGGAGCUAAUACCGGCUAAUAUUUUGAACCGCAUGGUUCAAAAGUGAAAGACGGUCUUGCUGUCACUUAUAGAUGUAUCCGCGCUGCAUUAGCUAGUUGGUAAGGUAACGGCUUACCAAGGCAACGAUGCAUAGCCGACCUGAGAGGGUGAUCGGCCACACUGGAACUGAGACACGGUCCAGACUCCUACGGGAGGCAGCAGUAGGGAAUCUUCCGCAAUGGGCGAAAGCCUGACGGAGCAACGCCGCGUGAGUGAUGAAGGUCUUCGGAUCGUAAAACGCUGUUAUUAGGGAAGAACAUAUGUGUAAGUAACUGUGCACAUCUUGACGGUACCUAAUCAGAAAGCCACGGCUAACUACGUG
RNAcentral lists this ribosomal RNA (497 nucleotides) under uncultured bacterium. RNAcentral describes it as "partial 16S ribosomal RNA". It matches the Rfam family "Bacterial small subunit ribosomal RNA", at positions 28 to 507 of the family's 1533-position model. The record is from RNAcentral.